GUGCCAGCCGCCGCGGUAAUACGUAGGGUGCGAGCGUUGUCCGGAAUUACUGGGCGUAAAGAGCUCGUAGGUGGUUUGUCGCGUCGUCUGUGAAAUUCUGGGGCUUAACUCCGGGCGUGCAGGCGAUACGGGCAUAACUUGAGUGCUGUAGGGGUAACUGGAAUUCCUGGUGUAGCGGUGAAAUGCGCAGAUAUCAGGAGGAACACCGAUGGCGAAGGCAGGUUACUGGGCAGUUACUGACGCUGAGGAGCGAAAGCAUGGGUAGCGAACAGGAUUAGAUACCCUGGUAGUCAAGGGCGAAUUCGUU
Molecule: ribosomal RNA, 307 nt
Filed under: uncultured Actinomycetales bacterium
Lineage: Bacteria; Bacillati; Actinomycetota; Actinomycetes; Actinomycetales
Description: bacterial SSU rRNA
Rfam family: Bacterial small subunit ribosomal RNA
Source: RNAcentral